RNAcentral lists this ribosomal RNA (379 nucleotides) under uncultured eukaryote. RNAcentral describes it as "partial 18S ribosomal RNA". It matches the Rfam family "Eukaryotic small subunit ribosomal RNA", at positions 592 to 976 of the family's 1831-position model. The record is from RNAcentral.
CAAUAGCGUAUAUUAAAGUUGUUGCGGUAAAAAAGCUCGUAGUUGGAUUUCUGUUGAGAGCGACCGGUCCAUACCAUGUAUGCGUAUCUGGCUUGCUCUCGGCAUCCUCUCGAUAGACGUUACUGCGCUUGAUUGCGUGGUGCGGAUCUCGGGACUUUUACUUUGAGGAAAUUAGAGUGUUCACGGCAGGCUUUCGCCAGAAUACAUUAGCAUGGAAUAAUACUAUAGGAUCUUGGUUCUAUUUUGUUGGUUUCUAGAAUUGAGAUAAUGAUUAAUAGGGACAAUUGGGGGCAUUCGUAUCAACACGUCAGAUGUGGAAUUCUUGGAUUGUGUUGCGACGAACUACUGCGAAAGCAUUUGCCAAGGAUGUUUUCAUUGA